This 433-nucleotide ribosomal RNA is filed under the name uncultured bacterium. Its description in RNAcentral is "partial 16S ribosomal RNA". It matches the Rfam family "Bacterial small subunit ribosomal RNA", at positions 29 to 507 of the family's 1533-position model. The record is from RNAcentral.
AACGAACGCUGGCGGCAGGCCUAACACAUGCAAGUCGAGCGAGACCUUCGGGUCUAGCGGCGGACGGGUGAGUAACGCGUGGGAACGUGCCCUUUUCUGCGGAAUAGCCUCGGGAAACUGAGCGUAAUACCGCAUACGCCCUUUGGGGGAAAGAUUUAUCGGAAAAGGAUCGGCCCGCGUUGGAUUAGGUAGUUGGUGGGGUAAUGGCCUACCAAGCCUACGAUCCAUAGCUGGUUUGAGAGGAUGAUCAGCCACACUGGGACUGAGACACGGCCCAGACUCCUACGGGAGGCAGCAGUGGGGAAUCUUAGACAAUGGGGGCAAGCCUGAUCGAGCCAUGCCGCGUGAGUGAUGAAGGCCUUAGGGUUGUAAAGCUCUUUCAGCUGGGAAGAUAAUGACGGUACCAGCAGAAGAAGCCCCGGCUAACUCCGUG